GACGAACGCUGGCGGCGUGCUAACACAUGCAAGUCGAACGAUGAAGGAGAGAGCUUGCUCUUUUUGGAUUAGUGGCGAACGGGUGAGUAACACGUGAGCAACCUGCCCCGGACUCUGGGAUAAGCGCUGGAAACGGUGUCUAAUACUGGAUAUGUGAUGUGACCGCAUGGUCUGCGUCUGGAAAGAUUUUUCGGUUGGGGAUGGGCUCGCGGCCUAUCAGCUUGUUGGUGAGGUAAUGGCUCACCAAGGCGUCGACGGGUAGCCGGCCUGAGAGGGUGACCGGCCACACUGGGACUGAGACACGGCCCAGACUCCUACGGGAGGCAGCAGUGGGGAAUAUUGCACAAUGGGCGGAAGCCUGAUGCAGCAACGCCGCGUGGGGGAUGACGGCCUUCGGGUUGUAAACCUCUUUUAGCAGGGAAGAAGCGUGAGUGACGGUACCUGCAGAAAAAGCGCCGGCUAACUACGUGCCAGCAGCCGCAGUAAGAC
RNAcentral lists this ribosomal RNA (489 nucleotides) under uncultured bacterium. RNAcentral describes it as "bacterial SSU rRNA". It matches the Rfam family "Bacterial small subunit ribosomal RNA", at positions 28 to 526 of the family's 1533-position model. The record is from RNAcentral.